RNAcentral lists this ribosomal RNA (869 nucleotides) under uncultured bacterium. Its description in RNAcentral is "bacterial SSU rRNA". It matches the Rfam family "Bacterial small subunit ribosomal RNA", at positions 57 to 918 of the family's 1533-position model. The record is from RNAcentral.
GCAAGUCGAGCGGCAGCGGGUCCUUCGGGAUGCCGGCGAGCGGCGGACGGGUGAGUAAUGCCUAGGAAUCUGCCUGGUAGUGGGGGAUAACUCGGGGAAACUCGAGCUAAUACCGCAUACGUCCUACGGGAGAAAGCGGGGGAUCUUCAGACCUCGCGCUACCAGAUGAGCCUAGGUCGGAUUAGCUAGUUGGUGAGGUAAAGGCUCACCAAGGCGACGAUCCGUAGCUGGUCUGAGAGGAUGAUCAGCCACACUGGAACUGAGACACGGUCCAGACUCCUACGGGAGGCAGCAGUGGGGAAUAUUGGACAAUGGGCGAAAGCCUGAUCCAGCCAUGCCGCGUGUGUGAAGAAGGUCUUCGGAUUGUAAAGCACUUUAAGUUGGGAGGAAGGGCAGUAAGUUAAUACCUUGCUGUUUUGACGUUACCGACAGAAUAAGCACCGGCUAACUUCGUGCCAGCAGCCGCGGUAAUACGAAGGGUGCAAGCGUUAAUCGGAAUUACUGGGCGUAAAGCGCGCGUAGGUGGUUUGAUAAGUUGGAUGUGAAAGCCCCGGGCUCAACCUGGGAAUUGCAUCCAAAACUGUCUGACUAGAGUAUGGCAGAGGGUGGUGGAAUUUCCUGUGUAGCGGUGAAAUGCGUAGUUAUAGGAAGGAACACCAGUGGCGAAGGCGACCGCCUGGGCUAAUACUGACACUGAGGUGCGAAAGCGUGGGGAGCAAACGGGAUUAGAUACCCUGGUAGUCCACGCCGUAAACGAUGUCGACUAGCCGUUGGGAUCCUUGAGAUCUUAGUGGCGCAGCUAACGCAUUAAGUCGACCGCCUGGGGAGUACGGGCCGCAAGGGUUACAACUCAAAUGAAUUUGACGGAA